CCUAAAGGCGUAAUGAAAGUAAAGGUCGUCCUUGUGUCGACUAAGGGAGGAUGAGCUGUGUGUUACAAGACAGCUUCNCACUCUCGGGGCGUCUCAUUCUCAUUGCGAGAAGAGGCGCACCUAGAGCGUACACGUUGGGACCCGAAAGAUGGUGAACUAUGCCUGGUCAGGACGAANUCAGGGGAAACCCUGAUGGAGGUCCGUAGCGAUUCUGACGUGCAAAUCGAUCGUCGGAACUGGGUAUAGGGGCGAAAGACUAAUCGAACCAUCUAGUAGCUGGUUCCCUCCGAAGUUCCCCUCAGGAUAGCUGGCACUCAUAUUUUAUUACGAGUCUCAUCUGGUAAAGCGAAUGAUUAGAGGCCUUGGGGCCGAAACGACCUCAACCUAUUCUCAAACUUUAAAUGGGUGAGAUCUCUGGCUUGCUUGAAUAUAUGAAGCCAUGAGAAUAUUUUUUUUCUUUGGAAAAAUCUAUAUAAUGGAUCAGAGUGCCAAGUGG
Molecule: ribosomal RNA, 496 nt
Filed under: Vipio texanus
Lineage: Eukaryota; Metazoa; Arthropoda; Insecta; Hymenoptera; Braconidae
Description: eukaryotic LSU rRNA
Rfam family: Eukaryotic large subunit ribosomal RNA
Source: RNAcentral